Molecule: ribosomal RNA, 253 nt
Filed under: uncultured bacterium
Lineage: Bacteria
Description: partial 16S ribosomal RNA
Rfam family: Bacterial small subunit ribosomal RNA
Source: RNAcentral
UACGAAGGGGGCUAGCGUUGCUCGGAAUCACUGGGCGUAAAGCGCACGUAGGUGGGUCGUUAAGUCAGACGUGAAAUCCCUCAGCUUAACUGGGGAACUGCGUCUGAUACUGGCGAGCUUGAGUGCAGGAGAGGAACGCGGAAUUCCAGGUGUAGCGGUGAAAUGCGUAGAUAUCUGGAGGAACACCGGUGGCGAAGGCGGCGUUCUGGACUGCAACUGACACUGAUGAACGAAAGCCAGGGGAGCAAACGGG